UGCAGUCGAGCGAAUCGAUGGGAGCUUGCUCCCUGAGAUUAGCGGCGGACGGGUGAGUAACACGUGGGCAACCUGCCUAUAAGACUGGGAUAACUUCGGGAAACCGGAGCUAAUACCGGAUACGUUCUUUUCUCGCAUGAGAGAAGAUGGAAAGACGGUUUACGCUGUCACUUAUAGAUGGGCCCGCGGCGCAUUAGCUAGUUGGUGAGGUAAUGGCUCACCAAGGCGACGAUGCGUAGCCGACCUGAGAGGGUGAUCGGCCACACUGGGACUGAGACACGGCCCAGACUCCUACGGGAGGCAGCAGUAGGGAAUCUUCCGCAAUGGACGAAAGUCUGACGGAGCAACGCCGCGUGAACGAAGAAGGCCUUCGGGUCGUAAAGUUCUGUUGUUAGGGAAGAACAAGUACCAGAGUAACUGCUGGUACCUUGACGGUACCUAACCAGAAAGCCACGGCUAACUACGUGCCAGCAGCCGCGGUAAUACGUAGGUGGCAAGCGUUGUCCGGAAUUAUUGGGCGUAAGCGCGCGCAGGUGGUUCCUUAAGUCUGAUGUGAAAGCCCACGGCUCAACCGUGGAGGGUCAUUGGAAACUGGGGAACUUGAGUGCAGAAGAGGAAAGUGGAAUUCCAAGUGUAGCGGUGAAAUGCGUAGAGAUUUGGAGGAACACCAGUGGCGAAGGCGACUUUCUGGUCUGUAACUGACACUGAGGCGCGAAAGCGUGGGGAGCAAACAGGAUUAGAUACCCUGGUAGUCCACGCCGUAAACGAUGAGUGCUAAGUGUUAGAGGGUUUCCGCCCUUUAGUGCUGCAGCUAACGCAUUAAGCACUCCGCCUGGGGAGUACGGCCGCAAGGCUGAAACUCAAAGGAAUUGACGGGGGCCCGCACAAGCGGUGGAGCAUGUGGUUUAAUUCGAAGCAACGCGAAGAACCUUACCAGGUCUUGACAUCCUCUGACAACCCUAGAGAUAGGGCUUUCCCCUUCGGGGGACAGAGUGACAGGUGGUGCAUGGUUGUCGUCAGCUCGUGUCGUGAGAUGUUGGGUUAAGUCCCGCAACGAGCGCAACCCUUGAUCUUAGUUGCCAGCAUUCAGUUGGGCACUCUAAGGUGACUGCCGGUGACAAACCGGAGGAAGGUGGGGAUGACGUCAAAUCAUCAUGCCCCUUAUGACCUGGGCUACACACGUGCUACAAUGGAUGGUACAAAGGGCUGCAAACCUGCGAAGGUAAGCGAAUCCCAUAAAGCCAUUCUCAGUUCGGAUUGCAGGCUGCAACUCGCCUGCAUGAAGCCGGAAUCGCUAGUAAUCGCGGAUCAGCAUGCCGCG
RNAcentral lists this ribosomal RNA (1321 nucleotides) under Bacillus sp. DU80(2010). RNAcentral describes it as "bacterial SSU rRNA". It matches the Rfam family "Bacterial small subunit ribosomal RNA", at positions 56 to 1361 of the family's 1533-position model. Lineage: Bacteria; Bacillati; Bacillota; Bacilli; Caryophanales; Bacillaceae. The record is from RNAcentral.